UGACACUGUAUGUUAACCUCUUAAUGUAGUUGAUAAUUUGACAUGUUGAUGCAUAACCACAGUCAGCUCCACGGACCCAUGGGCCCACUGACUUUGGCGGUAACAAUCGCAUACAAUUUCUCUGGCAGCCAUGAGGGCACUGCUCAUUGAUACACGUGAUCACAGCAUUCAAAUGCGGCCAAUACUUGGCUUAUAUCACACUACUCAACCACGCUCCAAAUGGCACCGAAGUUCGGUACCUCAACCCAUAACUGGGUUAUAGUUUUACAAUUGUUGUUCGCAUGCUCUCAGUGCGACACACCCCCUGUUUCCCCCCCCCCUCCAUCCCCUUCCAACCCCGCCAGUAGAGAACCUACAAUUCCUACAAUGAGCCACAGGAUUAAUAAAAUGCGGAGGAAACGGACAGCACGAGCUGCUGAUGAAUAUAUUCUGUCCACACACACACAUUGGUACCACAUCUGCGACAGGUACCCACAAUAUCAACAGAGAAUUACUUCUUAUCUUACAAGCCACCCACAACCCCGCUCACAUUCAACCAUAGCCGAAGGCACAGCUUACACCAUGGCACCACUAUAUGAGAAUACAAAGCUAUAAUGUUAGGGGGCUGAACACCCCAUAUAAGAGGCACUGCCUCUUCAGAGAUCUUAAAAGGGAUCAACCUGAUGUCAUUUGCUUGCAAGAGACACACUUUAAAUCCCCACCAGCAAUGAAACAAGCCCUAUAUCCACACCAGUUCCAUGCCACGUCCGGGAAAAAAACUGGGGGCACAUCAAUCUUAAUCAGCAACACGGUCUCCUUCCACCACCACGACACAAAGAAAGACAUAGAGGGAAGGUACAUCAUAGUCAUAUGCACAAUCAACAACUCUAAAUACACUCUGGCCAAUAUAUACGCACCAAACACAAACCAAAGAAACUUUCUACAUAAAAUACUAACAUUACUACAACCGAUUCAGGAAGGCAUUCUAGUUCUCUGUGGGGACUUCAACCAAAUUCUAGACCCCCACAGCGACACGACUUCUGCAACCACCAAAGGGUCUCAGGCUAGACACGACAGGGCAUGCACAACAUACCUCAAACUACUGGACAGCCACCGACUGUACGAUGUGUGGAAAGUCCUACACCCACAGGAAAAGGACUAUACAUACUACUCCUCCACACACAAUACAUACACAAGAAUAGAUAGAUUUCACUUGGAGAGCCAACACCUAGACCAAGUGCUAGACUGCUCCAUAGGCCAGAUCACGUGGUCUGACCAUGCCCCACUGACAUUGACCCUAAAAGACAACUAUGACUACAAGCACAAGAGCCCAUGGAGACUAAACGAAACGUUGCUGACGGACGAAUCCUUCGCUAAGCAACUUGAGGAAGCCAUCUCGGAAUUCUUCACGUUGAAUAGCACAGGGGAAACAACAGCUAGCACAGUAUGGCAAACACACAAAGCAGUCAUUAGGGGGUUACUUUUGAGGCGGGCAGCACAACUAAAACGUUCCAGCCAAACCCAGUGGCUGGCAUGGCACAAACAACUAGCGGAUCUUACGACCGUGAACAAAACCCUCCCGACGGUGACAACACAGAAAGCCAUUAAAGACAUUGCGGAUAAGAUCAAACUUCACACUUUAGAACGAGUAGGGUUUAAUCUUCGCAAACUUAACUCCACACACUACGCCCAGGGAAACAAAGCCAGCAAAACGUUAGCCGCAAGACUGAAAAGAAAAGAAGCUAACACAAAGAUCUCACACAUCUUCACCCACGAUAACAAAAAAGUAAUCUCCCCCAUCGAUAUCAGCAACACGUUCGCUAACUACUAUGAUAAACUAUAUAAUCUGGCACAAUCCAACCAAUCACCUACCCCCGCGGACAAAGAGAUAGAGACCUACUUAAGAGACAUACCCCUCCCGACUCUCACGAGAGACCAAUCGGCCCAACUAGCCAACCGAGUCACAACAAGUGAAGUGAUUGAAGCCAUACGCACUCUGCCUAAAAACAAAGCACCAGGUCCAGACGGAUUUACGAAUACGUACUACAAAAAGUUCGCAACUCAACUAGCCCCCUCACUGACCUCCCUAUUCAACGAGGCCACUCAGAACAAGACGCUCCCAACAGACCUCCUUUUGGCACACAUCAUUACACUCCCCAAACCCGGCAAACCACCGACCCACUGCCCAAACUUUAGACCAAUCUCCCUAUUAAACACAGAUGCUAAAAUAUAUGCAAAGAUAUAUGCCCGUCGCCUAGGGUCGAUACUCCCAACACUGAUCCAUGAUGACCAGGUGGGGUUCGUGGCAGGCAGACAGGGAGCUGACAAUACACGCAAAGUGCUAGAUCUCAUUCACAGCAUAAGGAGGAAAAAUUUAAGCGGUCUCCUAGUCUCGCUUGACGCGGAGAAAGCUUUUGAUAGACUUAACUGGAAAUUCCUCCAAAUGGUCUUGACGAAAUUUGGCUUCCCCCGCCAAUUCAUAAACACGGUAGCGGCACUCUAUAGCAACCCGACUGCGAGAGUCCUAAAUGCAGGAUUCCGAUCGAAUGAAUUCACUAUAAACAAUGGCUCACGACAGGGCUGCCCCCUGUCCCCACUGUUAUACGUGCUGGCAUUAGAACCAUUAGCAGCCAAAAUUAGGUCAAACUCUGCAAUACAUGGGAUACCACUCAAUCAACAGGAAUACAAAUUAAGUAUCUUUGCAGACGAUAUAUUCCUAACCCUCACACAACCAUUAAUUUCCCUACCCAACCUUAUGCACCUCAUUACGGAGUACGGACAGCUCUCAUACUACAAACUUAAUGUUACCAAAACACAAGCCCUAAGCCUCAAUAUAAAUAGCACCCAACUGGACACCCUCAAAAAAUCAUUCCCACUGGACUGGAGAAACGACUACCUCACAUUUCUGGGAGUCAAAAUGGCUAAGAACCCCACUUCCUUGUUUCAACUAAACUACCAACCCCUGUUAACAACCUUCAAAAACACCCUAGACUCCUGGGAAGGGAAAUAUCUAUCGUGGGUCGGACGCAUAGCGGCAAUAAAAAUGUCCCUAUUGCCAAAACUGCAAUACCUAUAUAGAUCGCUACAAAUACAAUUACCGGGGAACUUCCUUAAAACUCUAACGAAACUACUCAUAAGCUUCAUAUGGCAACAUAAGACACCUAGAGUAGCAACUAAAGUAUUGCAAAAACCAAUAACCCACGGAGGACUAGGUCUCCCGGACUUGGGAUCAUACUACAAAGCGGCAGCACUAUCAGUGAUACCGCACCUACGCCAAAGGCAAGAGUCACCCCAAUGGCUACAGAUAGAAAACUAUUGGGCCCAACACCCG
This 3310-nucleotide long non-coding RNA is filed under the name Pelobates cultripes (western spadefoot toad). The record is from RNAcentral. Lineage: Eukaryota; Metazoa; Chordata; Amphibia; Anura; Pelobatidae.